This 492-nucleotide ribosomal RNA is filed under the name uncultured bacterium. RNAcentral's name for it is "partial 16S ribosomal RNA". It matches the Rfam family "Bacterial small subunit ribosomal RNA", at positions 29 to 507 of the family's 1533-position model. The record is from RNAcentral.
AGUGAACGCUGGCGGUAGGCCUAACACAUGCAAGUCGAACGGCAGCACAGUAAGAGCUUGCUCUUACGGGUGGCGAGUGGCGGACGGGUGAGGAAUACAUCGGAAUCUACUUUUUCGUGGGGGGUAACGUAGGGAAACUUACGCUAAUACCGCAUACGACCUACGGGUGAAAGCAGGGGAUCUUCGGACCUUGCGCGAUUGAAUGAGCCGAUGUCGGAUUAGCUAGUUGGCGGGGUAAAGGCCCACCAAGGCGACGAUCCGUAGCUGGUCUGAGAGGAUGAUCAGCCACACUGGAACUGAGACACGGUCCAGACUCCUACGGGAGGCAGCAGUGGGGAAUAUUGGACAAUGGGCGCAAGCCUGAUCCAGCCAUACCGCGUGGGUGAAGAAGGCCUUCGGGUUGAAAAGCCCUUUUGUUGGGAAAGAAAAGCAGCAGGUUAAUACCCCGCUGUUCUGACGGUACCCAAAGAAUAAGCACCGGCUAACUUCGUG